This 75-nucleotide antisense RNA is filed under the name Amycolatopsis rubida. Its description in RNAcentral is "ASpks TB sRNA". It matches the Rfam family "ASpks TB sRNA". Lineage: Bacteria; Bacillati; Actinomycetota; Actinomycetes; Pseudonocardiales; Pseudonocardiaceae. RNAcentral also lists the same sequence under 1 other name. The record is from RNAcentral.
CUUGAUCGAGCCGAGCCGCAGCGGCCGUCCGUCCGGCCGUUCCCUGCCGUAGGUGGCCAGCAGCGCCUGCGCCUC